AGUGAACGCUGGCGGUAGGCCUAACACAUGCAAGUCGAACGGCAGCACAGUAAGAGCUUGCUCUUACGGGUGGCGAGUGGCGGACGGGUGAGGAAUACAUCGGAAUCUACUUUUUCGUGGGGGAUAACGUAGGGAAACUUACGCUAAUACCGCAUACGACCUACGGGUGAAAGCAGGGGAUCUUCGGACCUUGCGCGAUUGAAUGAGCCGAUGUCGGAUUAGCUAGUUGGCGGGGUAAAGGCCCACCAAGGCGACGAUCCGUAGCUGGUCUGAGAGGAUGAUCAGCCACACUGGAACUGAGACACAGUCCAGACUCCUACGGGAGGCAGCAGUGGGGAAUAUUGGACAAUGGGCGCAAGCCCGAUCCAGCCAUACCGCGUGGGUGAAGAAGGCCUUCGGGUUGUAAAGCCCUUUUGUUGGGAAAGAAAAGCAGCAGGUUAAUACCCCGCUGUUCUGACGGUACCCAAAGAAUAAGCACCGGCUAACUUCGUG
This 492-nucleotide ribosomal RNA is filed under the name uncultured bacterium. RNAcentral's name for it is "partial 16S ribosomal RNA". It matches the Rfam family "Bacterial small subunit ribosomal RNA", at positions 29 to 507 of the family's 1533-position model. The record is from RNAcentral.